AGCCAGCCGCCUAAGGUGGGACAGAUGAUUGGGGUGAAGUCGUAACAAGGUAGCCGUAUCGGAAGGUGCGGCUGGAUCACCUCCUUUCU
RNAcentral lists this ribosomal RNA (89 nucleotides) under Cytobacillus oceanisediminis. RNAcentral's name for it is "Bacillus oceanisediminis partial 16S ribosomal RNA". It matches the Rfam family "Bacterial small subunit ribosomal RNA", at positions 1447 to 1533 of the family's 1533-position model. The record is from RNAcentral. Lineage: Bacteria; Bacillati; Bacillota; Bacilli; Caryophanales; Bacillaceae.